This 673-nucleotide long non-coding RNA is filed under the name Zonotrichia albicollis (white-throated sparrow). RNAcentral describes it as "lncRNA (ENSZALG00000003141.1)". The record is from RNAcentral. Lineage: Eukaryota; Metazoa; Chordata; Aves; Passeriformes; Passerellidae.
UAGCUGCACUAGUGGCUGGCUGCAGCCACAUUUCAGCCCUGUUGUUCUCCAGGAGGUGAAGAGGUUGGCAGUGGGCACUAUUGUUUUCUGUGCUCUAAAAGGACAUUGAGCAUGAUGUGCUAACCUGGAGAAGCCAUACCAGCUUUCAUGUAUACUUCACAGAGUUUUCCUUUAUCAGCAGAAAAUUUUGAGCAAUUUUCCUGAUGUUUGAAAUUAUGGAGAAAAUGUCCUACUCAUUCUGAAUCUAUGGAAUGUGCAGCGUAAUGUGCAUAUGUUGGGCACCUCAUGGCUGCUACACAAAAGCUUCCUCUUCCCUUUGCAGCACAGUUGAAGCAUGAUGCUAUGGUGGAAAAAGGCACUGGUGUAGAUGGAAAUUCCAGCAAUAAAUAUUGGAUAUUCUUUAUACCUUGCCCAGAAGAGAAGUGUGACAAUGAAGUUGUUCAAUGCCAGUGAGAUACUGCAUGAACAAAGCAGCUGUGGUGGAGCAGAGGAUCAGCAUCUCCAAAAGCUGGAAGCCCAGGCAUUCUGUCCUCUCCAGAAUUAAACUGUUCUCCAUAUUGGUAAUGUACAAAUAGGACAUAGUUCCACAUUUCCAUAAUUUUCCUUUUCUAGCAUGUUACAUGUGAUUGUACUGCAGUCCAGGUUCAAAAGCAACAUAUGUGCAAGACACACC